Molecule: ribosomal RNA, 496 nt
Filed under: uncultured bacterium
Lineage: Bacteria
Description: partial 16S ribosomal RNA
Rfam family: Bacterial small subunit ribosomal RNA
Source: RNAcentral
AUGCACGCUGGCGGCGUGCCUAAUACCUGCCAGUCGCGCGCACAAACGAGGAGCUUGCUCCUCUGACGUUAGCGGCGGACGGGUGAGUAACACGUGGAUAACCUACCUAUAAGACUGGGAUAACUUCGGGAAACCGGAGCUAAUACCGGAUAAUAUAUUGAACCGCAUGGUUCAAUAGUGAAAGACGGUUUUGCUGUCACUUAUAGAUGGAUCCGCGCCGCAUUAGCUAGUUGGUAAGGUAACGGCUUACCAAGGCAACGAUGCGUAGCCGACCUGAGAGGGUGAUCGGCCACACUGGAACUGAGACACGGUCCAGACUCCUACGGGAGGCAGCAGUAGGGAAUCUUCCGCAAUGGGCGAAAGCCUGACGGAGCAACGCCGCGUGAGUGAUGAAGGUCUUCGGAUCGUAAAACUCUGUUAUUAGGGAAGAACAAAUGUGUAAGUAACUAUGCACGUCUUGACGGUACCUAAUCAGAAAGCCACGGCUAACUACGUG